RNAcentral lists this ribosomal RNA (460 nucleotides) under uncultured bacterium. RNAcentral describes it as "partial 16S ribosomal RNA". It matches the Rfam family "Bacterial small subunit ribosomal RNA", at positions 338 to 795 of the family's 1533-position model. The record is from RNAcentral.
CCUACGGGGUGCUGCAGUGAGGAAUAUUGGUCAAUGGGCGAGAGCCUGAACCAGCCAAGUAGCGUGAAGGAUGACUGCCCUAUGGGUUGUAAACUUCUUUUAUAUGGGAAUAAAACGUUCCACGUGUGGGAUUUUGUAUGUACCCUAUGAAUAAGGAUCGGCUAACUCCGUGCCAGCAGCCGCGGUAAUCCGGAGGAUCCGAGCGUUUUCCGGAUUUAUUGGGUUUAAAGGGAGCGUCGGUGGAUUGUUAAGUCAGUUGUGAAAGUUUGCGGCUCAACCGUAAAAUUGCAGUUGAAACUGGAAGUCUUGAGUACAGUAGAGGUGGGCGGAAUUCGUGGUGUAGCGGUGAAAUGCUUAGAUAUCACGAAGAACUCCGAUUGCGAAGGCAGCUCACUGGACUGCAACUGACACUGAGGCUCGAAAGUGUGGGUAUCAAACAGGAUUAGAUACCCUUGUAGUC